AUAUAGUAUUUGUUAUGUAAGCAAUUUAGAGAUGAUAGAUCAUACUCUAUACCUCAUAUUAUAGAUGGAAAAUUUUCGUUAUCCAAUCAAGACUCAACAAAUUCUGCAUGGAGAUCUACUUGAUCGAGUCCUAACUAUUUUCUAUAUAUACAUAACAUAUCCUAUUUUGUCUUGGUGAAUGAUACGAAGAAUAUUUCAUUUGAUCAAUUGACCUCGAUCUUUAUUUAGGAGGGGCUAGAUCGACAUGACCAACCUCAUAACCUCAACCUUCAAUAGC
RNAcentral lists this long non-coding RNA (277 nucleotides) under Elaeis guineensis (African oil palm). RNAcentral's name for it is "long non-coding RNA (EGUI_LNC023963)". The record is from RNAcentral. Lineage: Eukaryota; Viridiplantae; Streptophyta; Magnoliopsida; Arecales; Arecaceae.